UACGUAGGGUGCAAGCGUUAAUCGGAAUUACUGGGCGUAAAGCGUGCGCAGGCGGUGAUGUAAGACAGUUGUGAAAUCCCCGGGCUCAACCUGGGAACUGCAUCUGUGACUGCAUUGCUGGAGUGCGGCAGAGGGGGAUGGAAUUCCGCGUGUAGCAGUGAAAUGCAUAGAUAUGCGGAGGAACACCGAUGGCGAAGGCAAUCCCCUGGGCCUGCACUGACGCUCAUGCACGAAGGCGUGGGGAGCAAACAGG
Molecule: ribosomal RNA, 253 nt
Filed under: uncultured bacterium
Lineage: Bacteria
Description: partial 16S ribosomal RNA
Rfam family: Bacterial small subunit ribosomal RNA
Source: RNAcentral